This 538-nucleotide unclassified non-coding RNA is filed under the name Hevea brasiliensis (rubber tree). The record is from RNAcentral. Lineage: Eukaryota; Viridiplantae; Streptophyta; Magnoliopsida; Malpighiales; Euphorbiaceae.
AUCAAAGUAUGGAAGAAAAUCCAGAAGCUCUUGAGUGAUUUUCCUAAAAUGAAUGUUCACUUAGGUACUGUUUUGCUGAUUAAUGCAAUUGCCAGCUUUCUCCACUCUACAGCUUAUAUCCUGUGAAUAGUUAUGAAUUUCUGUGCUCAUUUGUUACAGUCCCUACAUCAAUGCUGCAUACUCCACCUCUUAAGUUAUUUCCUAGGCAUCCCCACCCAUCCCUGCUCCGAAUCCAUGGGGGCCCAAGCGCUUUAUUCCACUUCUGCUGUCUAAAAUACCUCCUUCCCAAAUCAUGCGAGGAUCCCCUAGCUCGUUUUAGUGUUUGUUGGACAUUUUCAACCGGAAUGUCCAAGUCUGGUUGGUUAGCACUAUUUGUGCCUGGAUUGUUUUCAUUUGGAUAACAAGUGGCAGGAUCAUGCCUGUCCCAUUGGCCUUCUGUAGUUUCAUCAAUCACCAUAGAGUUCACAACAGAAGAUGAAGUUUCUUCCGUAUGAUGGGGAAAUGGAGGAAGUGGAGGGAAAGGAUGGAAAGGCAUGCC